Gopherus evgoodei (Goodes thornscrub tortoise) is the source of this 905-nucleotide long non-coding RNA. RefSeq lists it as uncharacterized. The transcript has 3 exons. Lineage: Eukaryota; Metazoa; Chordata; Testudines; Testudinidae. The record is from RefSeq and is a predicted model, not a curated record.
GCCUGUCAGUGAAGCAGGAUCUGCGUGCUCUAGCAGUUGGCUGGGAAUUCUGAUCUCCUUUGUCAAAUGCUUUGAGCUCUACUGAUGAAAAAAGCUAGGGAGUAAUGUUAUAAAUCAACCUGGAAUGUCAUAGUUACCCCCAUUGCACAGGUGGGGAAACUGGGGCACAAAGAGGUGAAGGGGCUUGCCCAAGUUCAUCUAGCAGGCCAGUGGCAGAGUAAGAGUAGAACUCAGCUCUCCAGAGUUCCCGUCUAGUACUCUGUUCUCUAGGUAACAGCACCAUAAUUAUAAAAGGCAGCACUUGUAAAGCUGGCAAUUUAUAGUACAGAAAAGACAAAUCUGAGUGGAGUGAUGGGAGGAUUAGAGUGACUUUGCAACAUGCAGUCACUGUAGUUCUUACUGGUCUGCUUCUAAAACAAGUUGUGCAGAUUAAAGAUAUAUAACUAGGUCAACUAAAUAUUACAUAACAGGAUUGAAAUUGUAUUUAAAUACAGUAUUACAUUUACAAAAUGAUUUUCACUGGCAGAUGGGUGAAAGCAGCUGAGCCAGAUAUGUUACAGAGCAUCUGACUUCUGCAGGAGCUUGGAGAUUUUAAAUGCAAAAAUACUAAGGCCUUGUCUACAAUAAAGGUUUUCAGGAAUCUCCCACUUUGGCUCCAGCAGUAUUACUGGUAUAGCUAUGCCAGUUCCAAGGCAAACAAGCUGUCAGCAGUUUCACCAUCACAUCCUCCAAAGCAGCAGUGAGCUGGAGUAGAAGAUUUAGUACUGAAAAGGUGCAUGCUGUGAUCCUGCUCCUGACGCAGCUCUUCUGCCAUGCGGGAAGCCUAAGAGGAGGCACAGUACAUUCUCAUCAAGCACAACAGACUUUUAAUGCCAGCAGCGGAGCAAACAGUACAACAACCCUGU